RNA transcript from Sitodiplosis mosellana (orange wheat blossom midge), 5766 nucleotides. RefSeq lists it as uncharacterized. The record is from RefSeq and is a predicted model, not a curated record. NCBI's taxonomy places the organism in Eukaryota, Metazoa, Arthropoda, Insecta, Diptera, Cecidomyiidae. The transcript has 9 exons.
UCCAUUGUUAAGCCAACAUAAAUUUCGACCAAAUAAAGUGGCGAUUGAAUGUGUCGAAAGAAAGGCAAACAACUGAAAUAAAAAAACGAGCAAAAAACAACACGUACAAAAUAAAACGCAGUGGGAAACAUAGAGAGUAAGAGUACACGAAUUUGUUUUCAAAGCAUGCAAUCACAGCAACGGAUAGCAUAAAAAACGGAAAAUACAGUGAUUUUCAACUCAAAAUCCAAAACGAAACUAAAUUACCAAGUGCGACAUUGUGAAACAUUUAUAGUGUGUGAACAAGAAAAUGUGAAAAGUUGCAUUGAAAAUCAAUUAAAAGCAUUCGUCGCAUGCACUGAUUGUAUCUUUUUGCACCCCAUGUGUCAUUUUAAUCCGUUGUGUGGAUUGGUCUUUCUCAGUGUGGCAAAAAUUUAAAAACAAAACAAACCGGACACACGCACAUACAUACAUAUAUUUGGGGAACACGAGGAAAAAGUAACGCAUGCAAAAAAAUACGCAAACUGAAAUGAAACCCAAGCUCCAAACGAAAUACACGCACAUGCAAUGAAAAGCCAAAUUGAUGAGCGUGAUAAAAUAACAGCACAAAUGUGUUUGUGAGCUUUGCAGAUAGAAUUACCCCCAAAAAGAGGAACGAAAAAAAAGAAGUGAGAGGAACCCAUGUGGAAAGAAGCAGAAGUUGCAAAUGAUAUUGUAGUUUAUGUAUGACACGAACAAAUGGGAAUUUAUGCGGUUUUUAUGUGUUUGUUGAGAGAGUUGAAUUGAAAAGAAAGCAAGGUCAAACAACACAAAAGUGGCGCACACCGUCAACGUAAGUGUUUUAUAUUUGAUUAGUCGAACUAAAGGGGAAUCGAAAAAAAGCAAACGGAAACACCAACAGAAAUCAUCAUCAAGCCAGGUAAUAAAGAGAAAAAAAUUUUACUUGAAUCGAAUACGAGGCAGUGCAGUGGAAAAAAUGCCAAAUUCAGACAACGGUCAAUGCAAGUGAAAAUAUAAAUGGAAAAUUAAAAUAAAUUCAAACAAUAACAAUAAACUAAAUGAGUAAAACGCGAAUUUGAACGAUAUUUUACAUGAAAAUUAGAAGAAAUUACGAACUGAAUAUAAAACAUUCAACUCCGAAAAAAACGCAUACGGCUUUACGGGUGAACCAUACAAUGCUUUGUGUUGUGUAAGGUGGAUGAAACGAAACGGUACGUUCAUUGACACGACCGAUUCAUCCUCAUCAGUGUGCGCGCGUUCAAUAUACAUUGUACAAACAAAAGCGGUCAGUUACAUUUCUACCGAGCAAGUAAUGAGAGUGCAUGCACUUUGGCCAAAUAGCAAGAGUAACAAAAUACGACACCGAGUAGUAAAGACAACGCUGUACGAUAGCACAAAACGAAAAUAAGAUUCUCCGUUGUUUUUGCUGAUAUAAAUACCAAAAUUCAUAACAAGAGCAAUUUUGAAAGACGGUGCAAACGAACGCAAGAGAUGAUCGAAACAAGGCAAGCCGUAGCAUAGGAGCAAAACGUCGACAACGAAAAAAAAAGUACAGUGCAGAACAGCACCAAAGCGUUUGCUCGUGUUUUCUGACGCAAGUGAGAAAAUCAUCAAGUUGCUCUUUUUUCUCUUCUAAUCAACACCGCCGCAUCCAAACACAAUCACACUCGAACUCACGAACCCUUCCCCGGUGCUUCUUUUCAUUCGGGUGCUUUGCCCGAAAUAAAUAAUAAACGUGUGAUUUCUGUACGUUUGAUUUCUUGUGCAAAUCGUGUGUUACACUACUCCUCACGUAUGCACUACAACAACAUCUACGAUCUGCUGCCAUAUAAAAUAUUAAAGAUAAACGAAACGGUGAAAAAUUGCAUAAUCAAGGACCGAACGUUUGGUGAAAUGCUUAAGACUUCAACCAACUGAUAAUUCCAUUUUGAAACACUGUGUAAAUAAAUCGUAAUUUUCUAUUAUUUUUGCACACAGCAUGCAUAAUGAAUUCGAAGCUGUCAAGUUUUUGAUUGGACACCACCGCAGAGCAGUGAAUGAGCACAUGAAAUGCGGUUGGAGAACAGAGCAACGCUAAUGCGCUGCACAAAGUGAACAAAAGUGGCCAAGUAGUACUUGUAAGCUGUGGAAAUAAAAGGCAAAACAUGCAUGUGAGCGUAUCUAUCUGUGUUUGUGAAUAAAAAAUUUCGCAUUUUCAACAUUCGACCGAUUAAGAGACAGGAUUAAUUCAGCCAGAUUGUGUGCAUUGUACAAAACGGAUUGUUGGGACUUCCAUUUGGAUCGAUAAAUCGUGUCACUUGGUCUGUCAUUUUGUGGUCUUGAAUGAACAUUGACCGCUGUCAAUGAGUGUUUAUAAAUUAAUGAUAUUGGGACUAGGUUAAAAUACCAGUGGUCGAUUCCCAAAUGUCUGUAUAAGAUGAACGCCACGAGACUAAAGAAUAAAUUUGCUGUGUAAAUCCUUUGUCUUGUCAAAGUGUAUGCCAAAAACGACAACGACAACAUCAUCUGACUUGAGCAGAUUUAAUCAAAAUAGACAAAUCCCAUAGCUGGCGACAAUAUCAAACCGAACGAUCAAAAUCCAGUACAUUUCAUUCGGAAAAAUUCACCAAAAUCCAAAUAAAACGCUUUCAAGCGCCAGAAGGAAUUGGGACAAUAAAAACGUCAAACAAAGCCCACAAAUCUAAAUCACUCGCUCUCGCUCUCUCACUCGCUAUUUUUUACCAAGUUCUUGUGCAAUAUCAACAGGCCAAUUUAAGCAAGGCAGCUUAAAGCGCGCACAACCCAAGAACAACAACAAAAAUACAUCACAUUUAAAUUAUUAAUCAUUCGAGAUCAACCGGAUCAAAUAUUAUGCUCAAAUAUUCGAAUAAAAAACUGUUAGGCUAUGUUUGUGAUGCUGUCAGUCCGUACUACUUCCGUUUGUGAACGGCACAAUAAAGUGACAACAACAACAACAACAACAACAACAACUGCCAACACCACCACAACGACAGCAACGACAACGACGACGACGAGCAAAACGACCAACACACAAAACACGCAGACGACUCAAAGUCAGCUAGAUUCGGCCGUAACAUCAUCGUUGACCACUACAUUCGACAAUAUACUGAUCAAUAAAAACAGCAUCGAAAAAAUUUUCACUAAAUCCGUAUCGUUCGAUAAGAAUAUCAAUCAGUCGAAUUUAUCGCUAACCCAGCCGAACAAUUUGAAAGAACCACCAGCACAACAGGCAUCAGUUGCAACGAUAUUAAACGAUUUGAGUCCAGCACCGUCAAAAUUCCCAAACCAAAAAAGCUUUAUUUCAACUAGCCAUAUGACCCACAAGGGAUUUCAAGAAAAUACGCCGGCAAUGCGGUACUAUAGGCUUUGGAUUUACACAUGCAACGCUGUGCUAUUAAUGGCAGUCAUAAUAUUUUGUUGUGUUGCCGGCAAAGUCUUAUUAGCCGAUUACCGACGACUGUUAAUACAUGGACUGAAUUUGGGUCAACCGAGCUUUGUGUAUGCGUAUUUGGCAUUGCUCAUACAAUCGGGGUUCUUGCAAUUAGUCGGAUGCUUAGGUGCCUUACGUCUAUCGGAAAAAUUGCUGAACGCUUAUUGGUUGCUGCUUCUGGUAUUGUUGAUUGGGGACGCGGUGCUUGGGAUAUUCUGGAUGUUUAAAUUUGACCGAAUCAUGCACGAACUUCAACCAAUGCUUAGAUAUCGUUUAGCAACCGAAUAUGGAACGUCCGUAGAUUUUAGUGAGUUAUGGGAUCGUCUGCAGAAUGAAAAUCGUUGCUGUGGUGUAUUUGGUCCGCAGGAUUUUAGUGCGACUGCAAAUCGUUCAUAUCCAACAUCGUGCUGUUCGCCAGAUAUCAGCGAUCAAAUAUCGAUUUCGAGGCGACCAAUGGCAUCGGCCGUCGUAUUUCGUGACGAAUCAGCAGCUAGUGCACUUGCAUCACAGGCCAAAGCCAAUUUAACCGAAUUAACCGAUUUAACAUGGAGCCAUUUAGUUAACGAUAAUAAAGACGAAAUCAAAACGGCCGCAGUGUGCCAUGCCAUCUAUCAACAAGGAUGUUUCGAUAAGCUGGUCGCAUGGUUACGAAACACCGCCGAUAUUCUGUUUGUGCUUGGCUAUUGUGUAAUCGCCUUUCUGAAAUUGUCAUUUCUCGGCAUCUUGCGAUACGAAAUUAAAGAGAUGAUCCAGAAAAUCAAGUUGCUGCAACAAGAAAUGACGUGCGAAAUGAUGAGCGGUGACGGCGAAGCGAUGCAGCAACAGCAAACGGGCUGUGUUUUGCUGCAAAUUCCCAGUACAACAGUAAACGGUGGCAUACACACCGAACGAAAAGUUGGCAAUCGAGAACGAGACCGAGAACGAAAUCGCUUCGGAUCAAUGGGCGAAAGCGAACAAGAAUCACUAUUAGUUCAUGAAAAUACACCGAAAUUCACUCGAAAUAAUCAAUUGAACUUGUGCAGUGAACAAGAUGAAGGCGAAAUUAUUACUGGAGCAACGGGAACGCAUUCGGGUCGUCCAUUACAUGGUAACAACUAUGAACUAUCUGAAUUUGAUGCGACACGAGGACCCACAUACAGAAAGUCUAAAUGGCCAUCCUUAUGAGAAAUACAGGCUUACAUAGCUAGAGCACACAGCGAGUCCGAGCAUAUCCUAUUUACAUCAGCACGCAGGCGGCAACCAAAAUCUGACUACGGUAUUACCUGGAACAGUUAUUCGGUGGGCGUUGGCGUAAAUACGGACGCUAUUCUCGUCGGCGAAAGAAAUAUCCGAGCACCGAAUACAACGAGCCAAAUGUAAGAUUCUACCAGGCGACUGCUACAACGGACUACAGCGAAUGCGACUGCACCGAUAUCUAAUCUCUCUCUAACUAUCCCGAUCUCUCGACAAAGCGAUGAAAAAUUCAAACGCGACAAACAAAAAGUUCAACUCGCAUCCAAAUGUAAUUCUAAAGUCAAAUAGUUUUUUGUUCGCACCGCCUCAAUCAAAAUGAAUGUGACAGUAUUCAAAAGCCGUCAGACAUGAACUAUACAUAAAAUCAACGUUGGGGGAAAAUGUAAAUACCCUCAAAAAGUUGCUGAACAGACAAUGGAAACUGGAAAAUAGGAAGCGAACCUAUGACAACAACUGCACACGUAUACACAAUGAACACUCGACUUAAUUCUCGUAGAUUAAUUGAAUGAAGAAAAGUUGCACGCAUUGGCAACUGCGAGUACGAGACUGAAUUGCAAACAUAAACCGGGUCAUCUCACGAUUCGUUUCGGCACAAAUGUGAAAAAGUUGUGAACCGAAAUUCGUUUGAAGCAACAACAAAAAAAAAACAGGCAAAUCUAAAAUAUCAGAAAUUCGAAUAAGUUACGUGUUAUAAUGACAGGAUUAUCCAAGUGCAGAACAAAUAUUUGCAUACAUGAUCCAUAAAUUUUUAUGAUUUUAUAUUUGAAAUCAGAAAGUCUUAGAAUAAAGCAUAAACAAUUAAUCGAUUCGCUUGUAAACUAAUGAAAUUGAACAUGAAGAUCACCGAUAAGAUAUUAUGUGGAAUAAUUAUGAUAUUCUGAAAUGAGGAAAGGGAAAAAGAAACGGAAAAAGAAAAGCAAAUGUUAAGAAUUGAGAUAGGGCAACCAUGAAAAUACAGGCAAGGCAUACGAAUGAUCUAAUAUAUGCACAGUAAACACGAUGGUUCUAACUUUUAGAACCACAAUAUGAAAUUUGGCACUAAAAUCCAUUUAAGUACCAUUUAUACUGAAAAAAGUUCAAAAUGUACUAAAUCAAAAAUCAAAGCCUCAUGUAUUUAUUAUAGA